RNAcentral lists this ribosomal RNA (253 nucleotides) under uncultured bacterium. Its description in RNAcentral is "partial 16S ribosomal RNA". It matches the Rfam family "Bacterial small subunit ribosomal RNA", at positions 524 to 776 of the family's 1533-position model. The record is from RNAcentral.
UACGAAGGGGGCUAGCGUUGCUCGGAAUUACUGGGCGUAAAGCGCACGUAGGCGGUUUGUUAAGUCAGGGGUGAAAUCCUGGAGCUCAACUCCAGAACUGCCUUUGAUACUGGCGAUCUUGAGGCCGGGAGAGGUGAGUGGAACUGCGAGUGUAGAGGUGAAAUUCGUAGAUAUUCGCAAGAACACCGGUGGCGAAGGCGGCCUGCUGGGCAGUUGCUGACACUGAGGCGCGACAGCGUGGGGAGCAAACAGG